AGCAGCCGCGGUAAUUCCAGCUCCAAUAGCGUAUAUUAAAGUUGUUGCAGUUAAAAAGCUCGUAGUUGAAUUUCGGGAUCAUCAGGUUGGUCGUGCCUCUGGUAUGUACUGAUUUCGAUGGUUCCUCCUUCUUGAAGAACCGUAAUGCCAUUAAUUUGGUGUUGCGGGGAAACUGGACUGUUACUUUGAAAAAAUUAGAGUGUUUAAAGCAGGCUAACGCUUGAAUACAUUAGCAUGGAAUAAUGAAAUAGGACGUUCGAUCUUAUUUUGUUGGUUUCUAGGAUUGACGUAAUGAUUAAUAGGGAUAGUUGGGGGCAUUAGUAUUCAAUUGUCAGAGGUGAAAUUCUUGGAUUUAU
This 356-nucleotide ribosomal RNA is filed under the name uncultured Glomeraceae. RNAcentral's name for it is "SSU rRNA". It matches the Rfam family "Eukaryotic small subunit ribosomal RNA", at positions 569 to 929 of the family's 1831-position model. The record is from RNAcentral. Lineage: Eukaryota; Fungi; Glomeromycota; Glomeromycetes; Glomerales; Glomeraceae.